RNAcentral lists this ribosomal RNA (710 nucleotides) under uncultured bacterium. Its description in RNAcentral is "partial 16S ribosomal RNA". The record is from RNAcentral.
CUUGCAUGCCUGCAGGUCGACGAUUCCGUCAAUUCAUUUGAGUUUUAGUCUUGCGACCGUACUCCCCAGGCGGUCUACUUAUCGCGUUAGCUGCGCCACUAAAGCCUCAAAGGCCCCAACGGCUAGUAGACAUCGUUUACGGCAUGGACUACCAGGGUAUCUAAUCCUGUUUGCUCCCCAUGCUUUCGUACCUCAGCGUCAGUAUUAGGCCAGAUGGCUGCCUUCGCCAUCGGUAUUCCUCCAGAUCUCUACGCAUUUCACCGCUACACCUGGAAUUCUACCAUCCUCUCCCAUACUCUAGCUUCCCAGUAUCGAAUGCAAUUCCCAAGUUAAGCUCGGGGAUUUCACAUCCGACUUAAAAAGCCGCCUACGCACGCUUUACGCCCAGUAAAUCCGAUUAACGCUCGCACCCUCUGUAUUACCGCGGCUGCUGGCACAGAGUUAGCCGGUGCUUAUUCUGCGAGUAACGUCCACUAUCCAAGAGUAUUAGUCUCAGUAGCCUCCUCCUCGCUUAAAGUGCUUUACAACCAUAAGGCCUUCUUCACACACGCGGCAUGGCUGGAUCAGAGUUUCCCCCAUUGUCCAAUAUUCCCCACUGCUGCCUCCCGUAGGAGUCUGGGCCGUGUCUCAGUCCCAGUGUGGCGGAUCAUCCUCUCAGACCCGCUACAGAUCGUCGCCUUGGUAGGCCUUUACCCCACCAACUAGCUAAU